Molecule: ribosomal RNA, 418 nt
Filed under: uncultured bacterium
Lineage: Bacteria
Description: bacterial SSU rRNA
Rfam family: Bacterial small subunit ribosomal RNA
Source: RNAcentral
GAAUAUUGGUCAAUGGCCGGAAGGCUGAACCAGCCAUGCCGCGUGAAGGUCAGUGCCCUAUGGGCGUUAAACUUCUUUUGUGCGGGAGCAAUAAGGUCCACGUGUGGGCCGACGAGAGUACCAGAUGAAUAAGGAUCGGCUAACUCAGUGACAGCAGCCGCGGUAAUACGGAGGAUCCGAGCGUUAUCCGGAUUUAUUGGGUUUAAAGGGAGCGUAGGUGGAUUGUUAAGUCAGUUGUGAAAGUUUGCGGCUCAACCGUAAAAUUGCAGUUGAAACUGGCAGUCUUGAGUACAGUAGAGGUAGGCGGAAUUCGUGGUGUAGCGGUGAAAUGCUUAGAUAUCACGAAGAACUCCGAUUGCGAAGGCAGCCUGCUGGACUGUAACUGACGCUGAUGCUCGAAAGUGUGGGUAUCAAACAG